This is a non-coding RNA of Castor canadensis (American beaver), 167 nucleotides long. The record is from RefSeq and is a predicted model, not a curated record. NCBI's taxonomy places the organism in Eukaryota, Metazoa, Chordata, Mammalia, Rodentia, Castoridae.
UGUGUGCUCUUCCGAUCACUUGAGUCCAGGAGUUCUGGGCUGCAGUGCGCUAUGCCGAUCGGGUGUCCGCACUAAGUUCGGCAUCAAUAUGGUGACCUCCCGGGAGCGGGGGACCACCAGGUUGCCUAAGGAGGGGUGAACCAGCCCAGGCCCGAGAGCGGAAGAGC